UGCGAUUUAUCCAUCAAUAGUUCAGGAGUUAGUAAAAUGUCAGACGCAUCACGUCAGAGCGGUGUUGUGAAGUGGUUCAACGAUGCCAAGGGCUUCGGUUUCAUCACCCCGGAAAGCGGCCCGGACCUGUUCGUGCACUUCCGUGCCAUCCAGGGCACCGGCUUCAAGUCGCUGCAGGAAGGCCAGAAGGUGACCUUCGUCGCCGUGCAGGGCCAGAAGGGCAUGCAGGCUGACCAGGUGCAGGCGGGCUAAUCCGUCUGCAACCGUAAGGUUGCCAAGGACGCCGGUCGCGCAAGCGACUGGCGUUUUU
Molecule: unclassified non-coding RNA, 310 nt
Filed under: Xanthomonas citri pv. fuscans
Lineage: Bacteria; Pseudomonadati; Pseudomonadota; Gammaproteobacteria; Lysobacterales; Lysobacteraceae
Description: cspA
Rfam family: cspA thermoregulator
Source: RNAcentral